AGAGUUUGAUCAUGGCUCAGGAUGAACGCUAGCGGCAGGCCUAACACAUGCAAGUCGAGGGGUAACAGGGAGCUUGCUCCGCUGACGACCGGCGCACGGGUGCGCACCGCGUAUGGAACCUACCUUUUACAGAGGAAUAGCCUUUAGAAAUGAAGCUUAAUGCCUCAUGGUAUUGAGACUCGGCAUCGAAUUUUGAUUAAAGCUUUCGAGCGGUAAAAGAUGGCCAUGCGUCCCAUUAGCUAGAUGGUAAGGUAACGGCUUACCAUGGCUACGAUGGGUAGGGGCCCUGAGAGGGGGAUCCCCCACACUGGUACUGAGACACGGACCAGACUCCUACGGGAGGCAGCAGUGAGGAAUAUUGGACAAUGGAGGUAACUCUGAUCCAGCCAUGCCGCGUGCAGGAAGACGGCCCUAUGGGUUGUAAACUGCUUUUAUACGGGAAGAAAAACAGCUACGUGUAGUUGACUGACGGUACCGUAAGAAUAAGGACCGGCUAACUCCGUGCCAGCAGCCGCGGUAAUACGGAGGGUCCGAGCGUUAUCCGGAAUUAUUGGGUUUAAAGGGUCCGUAGGCGGGCCAUUAAGUCAGGGGUGAAAGUCUGCGGCUCAACCGUAGAAUUGCCUUUGAUACUGGUGGUCUUGAGUUAUGGUGAAGUGGCUGGAAUAUGUAGUGUAGCGGUGAAAUGCAUAGAUAUUACAUAGAACACCGAUUGCGAAGGCGGGUCACUAACCAUAUACUGACGCUGAUGGACGAAAGCGUGGGGAGCGAACAGGAUUAGAUACCCUGGUAGUCCACGCCGUAAACGAUGGAUACUAGCUGUCCGGAUCCUUGAGAUCUGGGCGGCCAAGCGAAAGUGAUAAGUAUCCCACCUGGGGGCAUGUGGUUUAAUUCGAUGAUACGCGAGGAACCUUACCAGGGCUUAAAUGCAUAUUGACAGGGUCAGAGAUGACUUUUCCUUCGGGCAAUUUGCAAGGUGCUGCAUGGUUGUCGUCAGCUCGUGCCGUGAGGUGUCAGGUUAAGUCCUAUAACGAGCGCAACCCCUACCGUUAGUUGCCAGCGAGUCAAGUCGGGGACUCUAACGGGACUGCCGGUGCAAACCGUGAGGAAGGUGGGGAUGACGUCAAAUCAUCACGGCCCUUACGUCCUGGGCCACACACGUGCUACAAUGGCCGGUACAGAGAGCAGCCAUCUGGUGACAGAGAGCGAAUCUACAAAACCGGUCACAGUUCGGAUCGGGGUCUGCAACUCGACCCCGUGAAGCUGGAAUCGCUAGUAAUCGGAUAUCAGCCAUGAUCCGGUGAAUACGUUCCCGGGCCUUGUACACACCGCCCGUCAAGCCAUGGAAGCCGGGAGUGCCUGAAGUCCGUCACCGCAAGGAGCGGCCUAGGGCAAGAUCGGUAACUAGGGCUAAGUCGUAACAAGGUAACC
RNAcentral lists this ribosomal RNA (1428 nucleotides) under uncultured prokaryote. Its description in RNAcentral is "partial 16S ribosomal RNA". It matches the Rfam family "Bacterial small subunit ribosomal RNA". The record is from RNAcentral.